ACAGUUUGGCAUACAUCCUAGAAGAUGAUUGCAUGAUUCUGAUUUUGGGAUACAGUUAAUGUCAUAUAUUGCUCAAAUGUCUGUAAAUCAAAGUACAGCUACAAAGUACAGGCAGCUUAUGCAUAGCUUCUAAAAAAGUAAAUUAGAUUGAGCAGCUGGAAAAGAAACAUCUGCAUACUCUCAAUAUAAGAACUUAGAUUCACUUAUACCAGCCAGCCAUGAAAAAUAAUGCAAGACUUUAUAUUAAUGUAUUGUAGGGUUCCUCACUCCCAAAAAAACAAUGGGGGGCUGGAGUGUGUCGAGAGAAGGGCAAUGGGGCUGAGGAAGAGUCUGGAGCACCAGUCCUGUGAGGAACAGCCGGAGGUGUUUAGCCUGGAGAAAAGGAGGCUCAGGGAGACCUUCUCACUGCCUCCAAUUCCCUUUCAGGAGGUUGUAGCCAGGUGAGGAUCAGUCUCUUCUCCCAGGUACCAAGGAACAGGAUGGGAGGAAACAGCCCCAGCUUGUGCCAGGGGAGAUUUAGGUUGAAUAUUUGGAAAUAAGUUCUUCACAGAAAGGGUUGUCAAGCAUUGGAAUGGGUUGCCCAGAGAAGUGGUGGAGUCACCAUUCCUACAUGGAUGUGGCACUUGGGGACAUGGUUAAGGGGUGAGCAGGUAUUGGUGCUAGGUUGAAAUUCAAGACUCAAUGAUCUCAGAGGUCUUCUCCACCCUAAAUGGUUCUAUAAAUUAAGACCAGUACAGCUGUUUCAGCAUAAUUUUCGAUGUUGGCAAUUUUGUUAUGUGUAGCUUUUCAAGUUUAACAGAUUUCUACUAAAUCAAAAGGCCCCUCAAAACCCCAGGGAGUUAACUGGGUCAAGUCUGUGCCAGUCAGAUCACACCAGUAACAUUUGGUACAAACAACAAUUAAAGUAGAAGGCAAGUCCUGAAGAUAAUUUGCUGCCUUUUGAUUCUUUUUUAUAUAAAUUCAGAUACAUUACCAACACUCCAUUUCCAUUUACUAUUGAAAAUAGAUGAACCUUCUUUGCUCCUUUUAACUGUUAUUUAUAUACAAGGUCCUCAUACAAAUGACUGUAAAUGCCACUAUGGCUGCGAUUAACUGCUCUCAUCACUGCUUGUAGAACAAUUUAAAAUAGAACAUAGGUUAAAAAAUUAUGUAACUAGCAGAAGUACAAACAUGAUUGCCAAGAUCCUACUCCUGAAGACAGCUGCAAAGGGAGUUUCCCCAAAUACACAUAGAUACUGAAAGUGGGAUUUUCCACAAAAGAUUUAUUUCCUUGGCAGAAAUUUUCAGUUCCAACAAUUUUACUGCUAGGCUGGUUUGUGAUUAACUGCACACAAUUCCAUCACUAAGGUAUUCAAAACUGAUAUAUUAGGAAGCACUGUUGGACACUAAAAUAAUUUCUGCUUCAAUGUCAAAACAAUUUAAAACAUUUUAGCUGAUGGACCAUUGAACUUUAGUAAAAGUAGCACCUAAUUAAAGGCUUUUAGAAAUGUAUUGGAAGGGGUCAAAUAUUUAUUAGUGAUUUUAAAGCCUAUCUGACAGGUACAUUUAACCAGCAGAUAUCUUGCCAUAUAACAUUGUCUGUUCCUAGGAAAUACUUUUUCUGCUCUUAGAAUUUUACAUAGGUUGAUUUGAAGUACAUCAAGUGUCCAAAGAAAAAAAAAAAAGACAUUUAAUUUUUUCUGAUACUAAGGCAUUCUGGCAAGAUAUACAAGAUCCAUGGGUUUAUUGUAUACUGUGCUUGUACAAGACUAAUGUAACUGAGAUCCAACACUACUAUAGCUAAAGAGAGUAUUUUUUCUAAAGAAAUACGCAAAUCAACAAUAAAAUUACUGAAUAUAAGCAAUUUUAAAACAUUCCUGCAGUUGGAUAUUAAAACAAACACAACCACAUAAAACUUAUAAUAUCCUUUUGAGUGCCUAUCAACAAAAAAUGCAGUGAGUCAAUUCAUAAACCCACUGACCCCAAUAACAAGCUACUCAUUGAAUCAGAAACAAAUGCAGUAAGCCCUGGUUUAGAGGCAGCAUUUGGUCAUGUCAUUUGUGAGUCCUUCAAGCCUGUGUUUCCCUCUCCUGGUGGCUGCAGGAACCAUAUGGUUAAGUAAAUAUACCUCUUCAAGCAAAAGGCUGUAGCCAGCACCAAAGAGGAAGCUCUACUUCUGCUAGACCCCGAAAAACAAAACAAAACAAAGCUUUUCUAUUUUUGUUUUGCUUGUAUAGAGACUUUAAGGAUACACUGCAAAGACUCACUCUGUACUAUACUGCAGUACAACACAGUAGGUGGUGCCAGGUUUUAAAUAAUAAUGCAGUGAAGCAUCUCAGAGUUUGCUGUUCUCAGACUUGGAAACUCUGACUAUGAACCAGAAUAUCCAAAUAAGCUAAUAACCAUGCAAGUGUGAUUUACAGAAUUAGAAGGCCCAACUGGGUUGUAUUACUAAUGGACUGUUCCCACCUCCAGCAGCUUUGAAGCUCCUUGUGCUCAAAGCCUCAUGCAGGUAAGUAGGUGCACCAGAAACAUGGAUUCCUUGUUCCAGUUACUGUUCCUUUUUAAAUCACCAUAUUAACUCUCCAAAGGAUGUGGUAAAGCAUAAGUAUUUUACCACUCCCACCACACAAAACACUGGAUCAAAAGACUGAAACAGGUAAGGGCAUGGUUGACAAUAACCAGAAUUUAAGGCUACCGUGUAUUUCGUCACUUAGGUAAAUAUUACAUUUGGGUUUAGGUGGGUUUUUGCUUUGUUUUGUUUUUCUUAGCAAGUACCAGAAAGAAGGAACUCUGUAAGCUCAUGCUUACUUUCUACAAAAGAUGAAUUAAAUUAUAAACACCACAUCAUGUGUAGUUAGGAUUUCAAGUGAAGAUUUUAAAAUUAAAACAAAUGUACACUGCAAAACUGCUCCAGAAAGACAGCAGUACAGAAACUGUUUUAACCUGGAGGACAUGAGAGGGAACAGUCAAUUCAUAUCACAUAAAAUAACCAUAAAAUGUAUAAUCUCAUCCAAUUGGCUUCUUUUACAAGAUAAUUUGGACAAUGGCCUUUUCUAUUAUCAUUUCUUUAUGGAAAUCACUGCUUCCUUCAGAAGGAUGACUAAAAAGAAAGAAAUUCACUCCCCCUAAAUCUUGUUUAAAUGAACUCCAACAGUAAGGAUUAGCCUGACAUUGACUCAAAUCUCCAGAGCCAGAGGACUGCAUUCAAAAGUGAGCUCACACAGGGCUAUUUUCAAGCACAGAAGACAUUCAUAUGCAGUAUUUCAUAAGACAUGAACAAAAAACAGUCAUAUUUUACACCACAAACCAGUUUGCCUAAUCAAACUUAUUACUACCAUGGUGCCAGAAGUUUGCAGCAAAGGCUUUCAAAUAGGUACAAACCCCUGGCAUAAUAUUAUGAAAAUAACAAACUCCUGACAGUAAGAUAGAACAAAGGCAUGGAUCCAAAACCCAAAUUCUAGAUUCUUAUUUCCAUUUGACCUUGAUGUCGUGUAGCUCUUCUCAAAUCAGCUCCUUUCCCGACCUGUCCUGUAUGCCAAGACACAAGCAUUAUAAAGGUGUUUAUAAGAGUAUAACUUCUUCAUUCUGGAGAAAGGACCUCAGAACACUACAUAUAAUAGGAAUGGAUGCAAUGGUACAGCACAUGUGAAUCACAACCUUUGCUAGAUUGGUAAUCAUUAAUAUUUCAGAGAAGGAAAACUAAGGAAAAAAAAAAAAAAAA
Taeniopygia guttata (zebra finch) is the source of this 3703-nucleotide long non-coding RNA. The record is from Ensembl. NCBI's taxonomy places the organism in Eukaryota, Metazoa, Chordata, Aves, Passeriformes, Estrildidae.